Molecule: ribosomal RNA, 253 nt
Filed under: uncultured bacterium
Lineage: Bacteria
Description: partial 16S ribosomal RNA
Rfam family: Bacterial small subunit ribosomal RNA
Source: RNAcentral
UACAGAGGGGGCAAGCGUUGUUCGGAAUUACUGGGCGUAAAGGGCGCGUAGGCGGCCGCCUAAGUCAGACGUGAAAUCCCUCGGCUCAACCGGGGAACUGCGUCUGAUACUGGGUGGCUUGAAUUCGGGAGAGGGAUGCGGAAUUCCAGGUGUAGCGGUGAAAUGCGUAGAUAUCAAGAGGAACACCUGAGGUGAAGACGGGUUGCUGGGCCAACACUGACGCUGAGGCGCGAAAGCCAGGGGAGCAAACGGG